Molecule: unclassified non-coding RNA, 334 nt
Filed under: soil metagenome
Description: partial contains 5.8S ribosomal RNA, internal transcribed spacer 2, and large subunit ribosomal RNA
Rfam family: 5.8S ribosomal RNA (bases 1-120)
Source: RNAcentral
GAUGAAGAACGCAGCGAAAUGCGAUAAGUAAUGUGAAUUGCAGAAUUCAGUGAAUCAUCGAAUCUUUGAACGCACAUUGCGCCCGCCAGUAUUCUGGCGGGCAUGCCUGUUCGAGCGUCAUUUCAACCAUCAAGCCCCCGGCUUGUGUUGGGGACCUGCGGCUGCCGCAGGCCCUGAAAACCAGUGGCGGGCUCGCUGUCACACCGAGCGUAGUAGAUUUUCAUCUCGCUCAGGGCGUGCUGCGGGUUCCGGCCGUAAAAAGCCUUAUUUACCCAAGGUUGACCUCGGAUCAGGUAGGAAGACCCGCUGAACUUAAGCAUAUCAAUAAGCGGAG